GACGAACGCUGGCGGCGUGCCUAAUACAUGCAAGUCGAACGAACUCUGGUAUUGAUUGGUGCUUGCAUCAUGAUUUACAUUUGAGUGAGUGGCGAACUGGUGAGUAACACGUGGGAAACCUGCCCAGAAGCGGGGGAUAACACCUGGAAACAGAUGCUAAUACCGCAUAACAACUUGGACCGCAUGGUCCGAGUUUGAAAGAUGGCUUCGGCUAUCACUUUUGGAUGGUCCCGCGGCGUAUUAGCUAGAUGGUGGGGUAACGGCUCACCAUGGCAAUGAUACGUAGCCGACCUGAGAGGGUAAUCGGCCACAUUGGGACUGAGACACGGCCCAAACUCCUACGGGAGGCAGCAGUAGGGAAUCUUCCACAAUGGACGAAAGUCUGAUGGAGCAACGCCGCGUGAGUGAAGAAGGGUUUCGGCUCGUAAAACUCUGUUGUUAAAGAAGAACAUAUCUGAGAGUAACUGUUCAGGUAUUGACGGUAUUUAACCAGAAAGCCACGGCUAACUACGUGCCAGCAGCCGCGGUAAUACGUAGGUGGCAAGCGUUGUCCGGAUUUAUUGGGCGUAAAGCGAGCGCAGGCGGUUUUUUAAGUCUGAUGUGAAAGCCUUCGGCUCAACCGAAGAAGUGCAUCGGAAACUGGGAAACUUGAGUGCAGAAGAGGACAGUGGAACUCCAUGUGUAGCGGUGAAAUGCGUAGAUAUAUGGAAGAACACCAGUGGCGAAGGCGGCUGUCUGGUCUGUAACUGACGCUGAGGCUCGAAAGUAUGGGUAGCAAACAGGAUUAGAUACCCUGGUAGUCCAUACCGUAAACGAUGAAUGCUAUAAGGUGUUGGAGGGUUUCCGCCCUUCAGUGCUGCAGCUAACGCAUUAAGCAUUCCGCCUGGGGAGUACGGCCGCAAGGCUGAAACUCAAAGGAAUUGACGGGGGCCCGCACAAGCGGUGGAGCAUGUGGUUUAAUUCGAAGCUACGCGAAGAACCUUACCAGGUCUUGACAUACUAUGCAAAUCUAAGAGAUUAGACGUUUCCUUCGGGGACAUGGAUACAGGUGGUGCAUGGUUGUCGUCAGCUCGUGUCGUGAGAUGUUGGGUUAAGUCCCGCAACGAGCGCAACCCUUAUUAUCAGUUGCCAGCAUUAAGUUGGGCACUCUGGUGAGACUGCCGGUGACAAACCGGAGGAAGGUGGGGAUGACGUCAAAUCAUCAUGCCCCUUAUGACCUGGGCUACACACGUGCUACAAUGGAUGGUACAACGAGUUGCGAACUCGCGAGAGUAAGCUAAUCUCUUAAAGCCAUUCUCAGUUCGGAUUGUAGGCUGCAACUCGCCUACAUGAAGUCGGAAUCGCUAGUAAUCGCGGAUCAGCAUGCCGCGGUGAAUACGUUCCCGGGCCUUGUACACACCGCCCGUCACACCAUGAGAGUUUGUAACACCCAAAGUCGGUGGGGUAACCUUUUAGGAACCAGCCGCCUAAGGUGGGACAGAUGAUUAGGGUG
Molecule: ribosomal RNA, 1492 nt
Filed under: Lactiplantibacillus pentosus
Lineage: Bacteria; Bacillati; Bacillota; Bacilli; Lactobacillales; Lactobacillaceae
Description: bacterial SSU rRNA
Rfam family: Bacterial small subunit ribosomal RNA
Source: RNAcentral